AUUGAACGCUGGCGGAAUGCUUUACACAUGCAAGUCGAACGGCAGCACGGACUUCGGUCUGGUGGCGAGUGGCGAACGGGUGAGUAAUGUAUCGGAACGUGCCCAGUCGUGGGGGAUAACGUAGUGAAAAUUACGCUAAUACCGCAUACGAUCUAUGGAUGAAAGCGGGGGAUCGCAAGACCUCGCGCGAUUGGAGCGGCCGAUAUCAGAUUAGGUAGUUGGUGGGGUAAAGGCCCACAAAGCCAACGAUCUGUAGCUGGUCUGAGAGGACGACCAGCCACACUGGAACUGAGACACGGUCCAGACUCCUACGGGAGGCAGCAGUGUGGAAUUUUGGACAAUGGGCGAAAGCCUGAUCCAGCCAUUCCGCGUGCAGGAUGAAGGCCCUCGGGUUGUAAACUGCUUUUGUACAGAACGAAAAGGUUUCUACUAAUACUAGGAGCUCAUGACGGUACUGUAAGAAUAAGCACCGGCUAACUACGUGCCAGCAGCCGCCGUAA
RNAcentral lists this ribosomal RNA (500 nucleotides) under uncultured bacterium. RNAcentral's name for it is "partial 16S ribosomal RNA". It matches the Rfam family "Bacterial small subunit ribosomal RNA", at positions 30 to 523 of the family's 1533-position model. The record is from RNAcentral.